RNAcentral lists this ribosomal RNA (558 nucleotides) under uncultured bacterium. RNAcentral describes it as "bacterial SSU rRNA". It matches the Rfam family "Bacterial small subunit ribosomal RNA", at positions 338 to 916 of the family's 1533-position model. The record is from RNAcentral.
CCUACGGGAGGCAGCAGUGAGGAAUUUUCCGCAAUGGGCGAAAGCCUGACGGAGCAAUACCGCGUGAGGGAUGAAGGAUUUUGGUCUGUAAACCUCUUUUCUCAAGAAAGAAGUUCUGACGGUACUUGAGGAAUAAGCAUCGGCUAACUCCGUGCCAGCAGCCGCGGUAAUACGGGGGAUGCAAGCGUUAUCCGGAAUGAUUGGGCGUAAAGCGCCUGUAGGUUGUUUAUUAAGUCCGUUGUUAAAGCCUAGGGCUCAACCCUAGAAAAGCAAUGGAAACUAGUAGACUAGAGUAUGGCAGGGGUAGAGGGAAUUUCUAGUGUAGCGGUGAAAUGCGUAGAUAUUAGAAAGAACACCGGUGGCGAAAGCGCUCUACUGGACCAUUACUGACACUCAGAGGCGAAAGCUAGGGUAGCAAAAGGGAUUAGAUACCCCUGUAGUCCUAGCCGUAAACGAUGGAUACUAGAUGUUGUGCAUUAUGUACAGUAUCGUAGCUAACGCGUUAAGUAUCCGCCUGGGGAGUACGCUCGCAAGGGUGAAACUCAAAUGAAUUAACGG